This 253-nucleotide ribosomal RNA is filed under the name uncultured bacterium. RNAcentral's name for it is "partial 16S ribosomal RNA". It matches the Rfam family "Bacterial small subunit ribosomal RNA", at positions 524 to 776 of the family's 1533-position model. The record is from RNAcentral.
UACGUAGGUGGCAAGCGUUGUUCGGAAUUAUUGGGCGUAAAGGGCGCGUAGGCGGCUUGUUAAGUCGGCUGUGAAAGCCCGGGGCUCAACCCCGGAGGGUCAGCCGAUACUGGCAGGCUAGAGUACGGAAGAGGUAGCUGGAAUUCCCGGUGUAGCGGUGAAAUGCGUAGAUAUUGGGAAGAACACCGGUGGCGAAGGCGGCCAUCUGGACCGGAACUGACGCUGAGGCGCGAAAGCCAGGGGAGCGAAUGGG